AUGGAUGCGACGGUGUCACGCCGUGGUUUCGGGACGAUUGGAGUUAUCUACAUGGACCAACAAGGUGGCUAUAUGGGCACUUCUGCCAUUGUUUUCAGAUAUAUUUCGGACCCAACAAUGCUUGAAGCAUUGGCAGUUAGAGAAGCUAUGGAUCUAGCCGAUGAUCUCUAUGCCCAAAGAAUUCAUGUGGCAUCGGACUGCAAGGUGGUGGUUGACGACAUUCAGGAGAAAAACUUGUCGAGUUAUGGGACUAUAGUUCAAGAGAUUAUAAGCCAUUCUCUUUCCUUUACUUUAUGUAAUAUAGUUCAUGAACGUAGGAGCUCAAACUUUGAAGCUCACAAUUUAGUGAAGCAUGCACUUACCCUGGGAGCUGGCCGCCAUGUUUGGCUGGGGCAUCCAGGGAAUCCUAUGUCUGUCCCUGUAAACAUUGUGAUGAAUUAA
This 441-nucleotide ribosomal RNA is filed under the name Triticum aestivum (bread wheat). RNAcentral describes it as "partial small subunit ribosomal RNA". Lineage: Eukaryota; Viridiplantae; Streptophyta; Magnoliopsida; Poales; Poaceae. The record is from RNAcentral.